RNAcentral lists this ribosomal RNA (465 nucleotides) under Vreelandella stevensii. RNAcentral describes it as "partial 16S ribosomal RNA". It matches the Rfam family "Bacterial small subunit ribosomal RNA", at positions 338 to 795 of the family's 1533-position model. The record is from RNAcentral. Lineage: Bacteria; Pseudomonadati; Pseudomonadota; Gammaproteobacteria; Oceanospirillales; Halomonadaceae.
CCUGCGGGUGGCAGCAGUGGGGAAUAUUGGACAAUGGGCGAAAGCCUGAUCCAGCCAUGCCGCGUGUGUGAAGAAGGCCUUCGGGUUGUAAAGCACUUUCAGUGGGGAAGAAAGCCUUGGGGCUAAUACCCUCGAGGAAGGACAUCACCCACAGAAGAAGCACCGGCUAACUCCGUGCCAGCAGCCGCGGUAAUACGGAGGGUGCGAGCGUUAAUCGGAAUUACUGGGCGUAAAGCGCGCGUAGGCGGUCUGAUAAGCCGGUUGUGAAAGCCCCGGGCUCAACCUGGGAACGGCAUCCGGAACUGUCAGGCUAGAGUGCAGGAGAGGAAGGUAGAAUUCCCGGUGUAGCGGUGAAAUGCGUAGAGAUCGGGAGGAAUACCAGUGGCGAAGGCGGCCUUCUGGACUGACACUGACGCUGAGGUGCGAAAGCGUGGGUAGCAAACAGGAUUAGAUACCCCAGUAGUC